RNAcentral lists this ribosomal RNA (471 nucleotides) under uncultured bacterium. Its description in RNAcentral is "partial 16S ribosomal RNA". It matches the Rfam family "Bacterial small subunit ribosomal RNA", at positions 355 to 813 of the family's 1533-position model. The record is from RNAcentral.
UGGGGAAUUUUGGACAAUGGGCGAAAGCCUGAUCCAGCAAUGCCGCGUGUGUGAAGAAGGCCUUCGGGUUGUAAAGCACUUUUGUCCGGAAAGAAAUCCUUGGCCCUAAUACAGUCGGGGGAUGACGGUACCGGAAGAAUAAGCACCGGCUAACUACGUGCCAGCAGCCGCGGUAAUACGUAGGGUGCAAGCGUUAAUCGGAAUUACUGGGCGUAAAGCGUGCGCAGGCGGUUUGCUAAGACCGAUGUGAAAUCCCCGGGCUCAACCUGGGAACUGCAUUGGUGACUGGCAGGCUAGAGUAUGGCAGAGGGGGGUAGAAUUCCACGUGUGAGCAGUGAAAUGCGUAGAGAUGUGGAGGAAUACCGAUGGCGAAGGCAGCCCCCUGGGCCAAAUACUGACGCUCAUGCACGAAAAGCGUGGGGAGCAAAACAGGAUUAGAUACCCUGGUAGUCCACGCCCUAAAACGAUGUC